GAUGAACGCUGGCGGCGUGCCUAAUACAUGCAAGUCGAGCGAACAGACGAGGAGCUUGCUCCUUUGACGUUAGCGGCGGACGGGUGAGUAACACGUGGGUAACCUACCUAUAAGACUGGGAUAACUUCGGGAAACCGGAGCUAAUACCGGAUAAUAUUUCGAACCGCAUGGUUCGAUAGUGAAAGAUGGCUUUGCUAUCACUUAUAGAUGGACCUGCGCCGUAUUAGCUAGUUGGUAAGGUAACGGCUUACCAAGGCAACGAUACGUAGCCGACCUGAGAGGGUGAUCGGCCACACUGGAACUGAGACACGGUCCAGACUCCUACGGGAGGCAGCAGUAGGGAAUCUUCCGCAAUGGGCGAAAGCCUGACGGAGCAACGCCGCGUGAGUGAUGAAGGUCUUCGGAUCGUAAAACUCUGUUAUUAGGGAAGAACAAACGUGUAAGUAACUGUGCACGUCUUGACGGUACCUAAUCAGGAAGCCACGGCUAACUACGUG
This 497-nucleotide ribosomal RNA is filed under the name uncultured bacterium. RNAcentral describes it as "partial 16S ribosomal RNA". It matches the Rfam family "Bacterial small subunit ribosomal RNA", at positions 28 to 507 of the family's 1533-position model. The record is from RNAcentral.